AGGGUGUAAACGCUGCAGACUUGGUGUUGGAAAUCCUUCGAGGGUAUUCAGUGCCGGAGAGAAGUUGUUAAGUCUGCUACUUGGGGAGUACGUCCGCAAGGAUGAAACUUAAAGGAAUUGGCGGGGGAGCACCGCAACGGGAGGAGCGUGCGGUUUAAUUGGAUUCAACACCGUAAACUCACCAGGGAAGACUGUUACAUGAAGGCCGAGAUGAAGACUCUGCUAGAUUUUCAGAGAGGAGGUGCAUGGCGUCAGUGACU
This 260-nucleotide ribosomal RNA is filed under the name uncultured archaeon. RNAcentral's name for it is "partial 16S ribosomal RNA". It matches the Rfam family "Archaeal small subunit ribosomal RNA", at positions 748 to 1008 of the family's 1478-position model. The record is from RNAcentral.